This 366-nucleotide unclassified non-coding RNA is filed under the name Hevea brasiliensis (rubber tree). The record is from RNAcentral. Lineage: Eukaryota; Viridiplantae; Streptophyta; Magnoliopsida; Malpighiales; Euphorbiaceae.
UUCCCUCCAUUGAAAACCUAACCACUCUAGAACUAUGUCAUUCUCAUCUCUUGGAGAAUUCAUCUUUAGUUCUUCAGUUUCUUCCCAAGUUAAAACAUCUCAAUCUAUAGUAUGCCUGCGAGGCAAAUUUCAUUGGUUAAAGAGUUUUGUUAUGCAAGUGGAUUUCCAAAGCUGGAAACUUUGAAGAUUGCUUCAAGCCAACUAGUGAAGUGGACAGAGAUUAUAAACGUGGCCUUUCCAAAUUUGAGGAGUCUUCAAUUUUGGCAUUGUCUUGAAUUGAGAUUUCUUCCAGAAGGUUUACAGAACAUUUCUACCAUUCAGGAGUUGUUUUUCGCUCACUUGCAUGGAGACCUAGAAAGGAGAUUG